CUGUCAAAUCACACUGAAAACACCAGUUCUCAUUUGAUUGCUGAAGUUAAGCUAUGUUGAGCUCAGUUAGUACUUAGAUGGGGGACCAUUUGGGAACACCAGGUACUGUAAG
Molecule: non-coding RNA, 112 nt
Organism: Acanthosepion pharaonis
Lineage: Eukaryota; Metazoa; Mollusca; Cephalopoda; Sepiida; Sepiidae
Source: the annotation of a GenBank genome assembly